UACGGAGGGGGCUAGCGUUGUUCGGAAUUACUGGGCGUAAAGCGUACGUAGGCGGCUUUGUAAGUUAGAGGUGAAAGCCCGGGGCUCAACUCCGGAACUGCCUUUAAGACUGCAUCGCUAGAACGUCGGAGAGGUGAGUGGAAUUCCGAGUGUAGAGGUGAAAUUCGUAGAUAUUCGGAAGAACAUCAGUGGCGAAGGCGACUCACUGGACGACUGUUGACGCUGAGGUACGAAAGCGUGGGGAGCAAACAGG
Molecule: ribosomal RNA, 253 nt
Filed under: uncultured bacterium
Lineage: Bacteria
Description: partial 16S ribosomal RNA
Rfam family: Bacterial small subunit ribosomal RNA
Source: RNAcentral